RNAcentral lists this ribosomal RNA (481 nucleotides) under uncultured bacterium. RNAcentral describes it as "bacterial SSU rRNA". It matches the Rfam family "Bacterial small subunit ribosomal RNA", at positions 28 to 508 of the family's 1533-position model. The record is from RNAcentral.
GAUGAACGCUAGCGGCAGGCCUAACACAUGCAAGUCGAGGGGUAGAACACUUCGGUGUUUGAGACCGGCGCACGGGUGCGUAACGCGUAUGCAAUCUACCUUGUACAGGGGAAUAGCCCAGAGAAAUUUGGAUUAAUGCCCCAUAGUAUAUAACCUUCGCAUGUUGGUUAUAUUAAAGUUUAGGCGGUACAAGAUGAGCAUGCGUCCCAUUAGUUAGUUGGUAAGGUAACGGCUUACCAAGACGAUGAUGGGUAGGGGUCCUGAGAGGGAGAUCCCCCACACUGGUACUGAGACACGGACCAGACUCCUACGGGAGGCAGCAGUGAGGAAUAUUGGUCAAUGGUCGCAAGACUGAACCAGCCAUGCCGCGUGCAGGAAGACGGUCCUAUGGGAUUGUAAACUGCUUUUUGUACAGGAAGAAACACUCCCUCGUGAGGGAGCUUGACGGUACUGUAAGAAUAAGGAUCGGCUAACUCCGUGC